Molecule: ribosomal RNA, 464 nt
Filed under: Vreelandella stevensii
Lineage: Bacteria; Pseudomonadati; Pseudomonadota; Gammaproteobacteria; Oceanospirillales; Halomonadaceae
Description: partial 16S ribosomal RNA
Rfam family: Bacterial small subunit ribosomal RNA
Source: RNAcentral
CCUACGGGUGGCAGCAGUGGGGAAUAUUGGACAAUGGGCGAAAGCCUGAUCCAGCCAUGCCGCGUGUGUGAAGAAGGCCUUCGGGUUGUAAAGCACUUUCAGUGGGGAAGAAAGCCUUGGGGCUAAUACCCUCGAGGAAGGACAUCACCCACAGAAGAAGCACCGGCUAACUCCGUGCCAGCAGCCGCGGUAAUACGGAGGGUGCGAGCGUUAAUCGGAAUUACUGGGCGUAAAGCGCGCGUAGGCGGUCUGAUAAGCCGGUUGUGAAAGCCCCGGGCUCAACCUGGGAACGGCAUCCGGAACUGUCAGGCUAGAGUUCAGGAGAGGAAGGUAGAAUUCCCGGUGUAGAGGUGAAAUGCGUAGAGAUCGGGAGGAAUACCAGUGGCGAAGGCGGCCUUCUGGACUGACACUGACGCUGGGGUGCGAAAGCGUGGGUAGCAAACAGGAUUAGAUACCCGGUAGUC